This 334-nucleotide small RNA is filed under the name Histoplasma ohiense. RNAcentral describes it as "hypothetical lncRNA". The record is from RNAcentral. Lineage: Eukaryota; Fungi; Ascomycota; Eurotiomycetes; Onygenales; Ajellomycetaceae.
CCGCCCCGAACUUUCCCCUAUAAGAACCCCCUUCGUACGACCUUUUCUUCUGAUUUCUUUUCUCUUUCUUUCCUUAAUCAAUUCGUAAUCUGUAAUUAGGAUAGUACCAAAUCGUUAAUCGAAGUACGCCCGUUACAAUCUGUUUCAUGUCAAAAAGAACUAUUCAGUUGCUUUUUGAUGGAAUGAGACAAGAUAUAACAGAUAUUGAGAUAGGAGUUCCUCAGGGUUCCCCAGUCUCACCCAUUUUGUUUGCUAUAUUUAUCAAGUUUCUAUUUAUUGAUAGACAAAUGGCAAUUAUGGUGAGAACUCCAAGCUAUGUGGAUGAUUUAGGCCU